This 468-nucleotide ribosomal RNA is filed under the name uncultured bacterium. RNAcentral describes it as "partial 16S ribosomal RNA". It matches the Rfam family "Bacterial small subunit ribosomal RNA", at positions 28 to 507 of the family's 1533-position model. The record is from RNAcentral.
GACGAACGCUGGCGGCGUGCUUAACACAUGCAAGUCGAACGGAAAGGCCCUGCUUUUGUGGGGUGCUCGAGUGGCGAACGGGUGAGUAACACGUGAGUAACCUGCCCUUGACUUUGGGAUAACUUCAGGAAACUGGGGCUAAUACCGGAUAGGAGCUCCUGCUGCAUGGUGGGGGUUGGAAAGUUUCGGCGGUUGGGGAUGGACUCGCGGUUUAUCAGCUUGUUGGUGGGGUAGUGGCUUACCAAGGCUUUGACGGGUAGCCGGCCUGAGAGGGUGACCGGCCACAUUGGGACUGAGAUACGGCGCAGACUCCUACGGGAGGCAGCAGUGGGGAAUAUUGCACAAUGGGCGGAAGCCUGAUGCAGCAACGCCGCGUGCGGGAUGACGGCCUUCGGGUUGUAAACCGCUUUCGCCUGUGACGAAGCGUGAGUGACGGUAAUGGGUAAAGAAGCACCGGCUAACUACGUG